Molecule: long non-coding RNA, 5220 nt
Organism: Brassica napus (rape)
Lineage: Eukaryota; Viridiplantae; Streptophyta; Magnoliopsida; Brassicales; Brassicaceae
Exons: 3
Source: RefSeq, a predicted model, not a curated record
UAGUUUUUUUAAUUUUAAUCAAGUAUUAUGAAACAGAGGAAGUAGUAAAAUUUUUGUUUCAAAAUAAGUGUUAUUUUAUUUUUGCAAAUUUAUGUUUUUCUUGAUAGAAAAGGUUUGAACAUUGCUGAAACAUCUUCCUUGCAUAUGUCUCCACUGUUUUUAUUGCAAUUUUAGCACUCUAGCUCUUUUUUUCUUGACGACGCACUCUAGCUUUGAACAUUGAGACUCAGUUUUAUUUACAUUUCUAGUGACUAGUAACGAGUCAUCAUCACAAGUAAACACACCAGAAUGGACAUGAGCUAUGUAGAUCGGAUAUAAAGGGAUUUGGUCAUAAACAAGCUGGAUCUGCUCGAUCUAGCUCCAUAUACUAAGUCUAUGGCUUGUGACACGCAGGGGCGGAUCUACAGUGUUGUGUACGGGGGCACGUGCCCCCGACUACUUUAUAAAACUUCUUAAGUAAUUAUGUUGACAUUCAACUCUGGUAGAACAAUUGGCAAAGCUGUCCCUGAUAAGUCGAAUACCUACCGAGUUCAAAGCCCCCUCUCUGUAUUUUUUUCUUCUUUUGGCUGUAUAAUUAAUGUGGUUACACGUUUACAUUUAUUCUAUCUUUUUAGCUAUUAUAGUAGCAUUUUCUACUUUUUGUUUGAUUAUUAUACUUUUCUCAGCAUAUCUUUUCUUUAUUUGUUUUUUUUCAUAGUUUUUUCUAUUAUAUUUCAUGUUUAAAUUUCAAUUUUUUUAAGCACGUUUCAUUGUUUUAAUAAUAUAUAUUAGUAAAUGAACAAUUCUAAUUAAUAUUUAGAUGAUAAACAAUUCAUUCAUUUCAAUUUAAUUUUUAGAAUUUAGUUCUUUGAGGUAUUAUGACCAAAAAUAUGUAUGACAUUGACAUACUGUUGUUAUAUGUAUAAAACAAUGACAUUUUCUAUAUAAUUCCAAAUUGGUUGUAACAGUAUUGUAACUGAUAAUAUUUUUUUUUUUAAAUAUAAUCUUAAAAUUAUAGCAUUCGAAUAAAAAUAGUGAAUUGUUGUUUUGACAGUUUAAAACUGUUUAUUUUUUAUUAUUAACAGUCUAUAAUAUUUAUUAAUAAAUUAUAUAUUUUAUUAUAUUACUAAUAUUAAUAUUAAUUAUAUGUCCCCGUCAAAUAAUUUGUCUGGAUCCGCCACUGAUUAUCUGAAGUCUUGAACAGGUUGUAAAUCUUUCUGGCCAUAUCUUACAUCCCAAAUUUUAUAAUUUUAAAUAAGUACGUUCUCAUUGUUAACCGGAUUUAGAUGUCAUACAUACGUAUAUGACUUUUUGUGACAUAUUAGUUAAUGUGUUGUUUUCUAGUUUCAAAAAGUUCUUCCUAGGGACCCUUCUUCAACUACUAUCACCUCCCCUCUACUUGCUUUCUCAUCAUCAUGCAAAGUCAUGACAUCAAAUAAAUGGCUUUGAUGAUCUCAUCGUUAGGUAAUUAUCAUCAUUAUCAGCAUCCCCAGUAUUACCGUAACCAACAUGCUUGUGUUCUGUCACUAAGAAUAAAAGUCCACGUGAGAAAAGCUUUUUAUAAAACUAAAAUUCAUACAUCAUGGAUUUUGACGUAUCAACCAUUCCAAUUUAUUUUCUAACCCCUCAAGUUGUAUAUAUACAAUACACCUUCACCACAUCAAUAUCAACACAUACGUUUCCAUUAUCUUAGACUCUUAGUCGCCUUCUCCAGUUCUUCUGCAUAUUAAUAUGGCUUGUGAAUCUACUAAACAGAAAAAGCAUGAGAAGAUUGUCUACUUUCCGAGGAUCGACAGGUAUGGAUUUGUUUCUUUCCUUUGAACAUGGAGCAAGUUUAUAAAUCAAAGUUUCAAACUUAUUGGAGAACUUGCUGUGUUGUGUGGAGUUUCUGAUGGAGGAAAACGAAACAUGUGCUUGAGUGUCACGUAUCCAAAAUAUAUAAAAGCCUUAGGAAUUUUGAUGGCGCUACAAAACUUGGAAUUUGCAACUGGAGUUUGCGUUUACAAAUCUUGAAAAUGUUCUUUAAUUCGGGCCUAGCUUUGGAAUAUUCGGAAUCGUGCAUUUAGAUUGAUAAUCAGAGUCAUCUUAUAGUUUCAACUGCAGUAGAUUAUUACAUUAGUUUUAAGUGCAUUUAGAUUGUUAGUGCAAUGACAACUGAGUUUUAGAAGCCGAAGAAAAACAACUCCCCAAGUUGUUCUUGUACCAGAGGUGAAGCAAUAUAUGAAGUAGUACAAGAAGUGUUAAGUGAAGAGAACCCGUCUAACUGAUUUGAAGACUGGACUUGGAGUCGACUUAGAACUGACCUACUUGGAAGCUAAGCAAGGUAUAAUUUACUUUAGAUAAAAAGGAAAUCACCAAAGGGAGAUUUCCAAAAAGUUUUGAGCAAAAUUUAGAAAUAUUCCAUAAGUGACAUUUGAGAAUAUUUCUUUUUUGGGAAGUUGGCUAAGGUUAGCCACGGAAUCUACUAGUGUAACUAGAUAGAAACGUGGCUUAGGUUAGGCACCACCUCAAAAGAAGGCUGUAAGCAUCAUAAUGGUUUUGGUAUUGAAUGAGAUUAGACACAAAGCAUAAGUGCUAGGGGUCAUGAGGGGUCAUACGGGUGUCUUUGGUCGUGGAUAGAUCUAGGAACGUGUUAGACUAGUGUUUCCGUCUGAGUGUGAUAUGUUAUUCAACUCGAAAGAUAGUUAGUAAGACAUUUUUUGUUGUUUCUGCUUUAGUAUUUUGUAAAAUAAAUAAAGCAUUGUACUUGUAUGUAUCACUUUCUCUAUCAGACCCGUCUUGCACUUUUGUAGAUUAUUACACUACUUUGGCCAGAGUUUUCUAUAUAUCAAAUGGAAUUAGAUUAAAUGAUCCAUAAUACAAAUUAAUGGGUAGGAAACAACUCUGACAUAAGCGCAUAUGAUAGUCAACAAUGUCUCAAAACUCUGAGUAUGACAUAGCCGCAUAUGGUAAAAGCAGUAACGACUUGUUGAUAGAAAGCUGACAGAGAGGAGUUUUUAAGGAAUUUUUUUUUACAAAUAUAAAAAUUAAGUUACAAAAAAAACAAAUAUAAAGAGAUUAUAUAUUGCAAAAAUGAAAUCAAGAAAUAAAUAUGAAAACAAUAAAGAGAAUAUACAUAACUUUUGUUCUAACGAAGAAAUAAGUAAAUCAAGCAUGUAAAGUUCUAAAAAUAAAGAGAAAUGACCUCAAAUAACCCUAAACCAAGUUUUUCUUCUCAAUCUGGACUACAAAGUCCAAAAUCAUCAAACUAGGUUUCAUUAAUAUGAGCAUUUACUAUAUUACCCAUUUCUUUGUGUAAUUACAUUAUAACUUUUUUGGAAAAAGUAAAAGAGAUAACGAGAUGACGACAGUUUCUCUUAUCUGGCUUUGAUCAUCUCUUUGGUUAUCAUCUACGGCGUCGCUAAUCUUCGCCGGCAUCUAUCCGCUGUCAGUCAUCACAUCUGUCUCCAUCAGCUCCACUGCUGCGCCGCCGUCUCUGUUUCUAAAGGUGAAAAGUAUGGUCGAAAAUAUUCCCCAAUCUCCAUAGGAAACAGUCGCCAACUAAGAAAUCUCAUCGGCAAGAUUAAAGGAACUUGAUGGAAUCUGUCGCUUGUAGAUGUAGCAUAGGAUGACACAACAAAAGCACAUGCAAGACUGCUAUAUGAUGAAGUUUGUGUGUCUAUGCAUAUGUGAUAGGGAAAAAAAAACAGAGAGUUCUAUUCUAUAUUUCAAUUUUCUUAUGAAUAUUUUCCUAAAAUGUUAUUUAAAUUCUACAAACAUUUUCUGUUCUUUUUCAUUUCAAUGGUUUAUUGAUGAUUUACAUGUUUAUAUGAGUAAUUUCUAGGUGUGGUUUAUUUGAUGAUUAUGUGAUAUGCGCUAGAAAACAUAUAUAUUUUCCUUUGGAAGCUCAUCCUAAUCAUGUUAAAUGCUUUCCAACAUUUAUAAUACAUAAUUUAAGUUUAAAUAAAUUUAUCUGUUCGGUACUAAGAGAUGAUUCUUCUCAGCCUAACGGAUAAACCACUACUGUUACUAAACUUGAAAGAUACUUGAAAGAUGGAGUUCAAAGGAAACUUUCCAGAGGGAGUUCUACGUGGAUAAGAACAUGAUUAUAUCGUUUAUUAAUUUAGAAGAAGAUCUUCAAUAUAAUGAUUUGCUUAAGAUGGUUUCUGAAGAUUUCCUUAUUCGAGAGGAAGGUAUAACUUUGAGCUAUGGAAUUUCUUUGUAUGUGAAAAGUAUGGUUGAAAAUAUUCCCAAUCUCCAUAGGAAACAGUCGCCAACUAAGAAAUCUCAUCGGCAAGAUUAAAGGACUUGAUGGAAUCUGUCGCUUGUAGAUGUGGCAUAGGAUGACACAACAAAAGCACAUGCAAGACUGCUAUAUGAUGAAGUUUGUGUGUCUAUGUAUAUGUGAUAGGGGAAAAAACAGAGAGUUCUAUUCAAUAUUUCAAUUUUCUUAUGAAUAUUUUUCUGAAAUGUUAUUUAAAUUCUACAAACAUGUUCUAUUCUUUUUCAUUUCAAUGGUUUAUUGAUGAUUUACAUGUUUAUAUGAGUAAAUUUUAGGUGUGGUUUAUUUGAUGAUUAUGUGAUAUGCACCAGACAACAUAUAUAUUUUCUUUUGGAAGCUCAUCCUAAACAUGCUAAAUGAUUUCCAACAUUUAUAAUACAUAAUUUAAGUUUAAUAAAUUUAUGUGUUCGGUACUAAUAGAUGAUUCUCCUCAGCCUAACGGCUAAACCACUACUGUUACUAAACUUGAAAGAUUGGUGGUGCCCGAGUGUCAAUAUUUUUGCAGUCACAUAUACAUUCAAAAUGCAAUAUUGUAUAUUAAAGAGCAUGAGAAAACACAUUGAAAUAUGUUAAGCAUUAUGGGAAUUGUCAGGUCACAAGUUUAAUACAUUUUUAUGGUUAUUGAAACUAUAAUAGUGUUACCAACAUAACACAUAUUAGUUCAUAGAUAUUGUCAUGUGAUUCGUAUAGUUCAUAUAGUUUUUAGGUAUUUGUUUAUAUAUUUAUUAAAAUCCAAAACCUCACAUUCCAAAACUCCACCCCUCAACUAUAAACUCUAAAUGUAGAUUAAUUAACUUUAGGGUUAUAAAUGUCUAUUUAUCUCAUUAAAUGUGAGGAUAAAUGUGGUUAAGGUAAACAUGAAAUGUGGUUUAGGCAAUUUCUCAUAUUUGUUUUUCAAAUUUUUUUUUUUGAAAUUCUAAAUUUUUUUUGGAAUUUUUAUUUUUUAAAUAUGUAUUUAUUUAUAUAUUUAUUUAAAUCCU